Hibiscus syriacus is the source of this 158-nucleotide long non-coding RNA. RefSeq lists it as uncharacterized. The transcript is spliced from 3 exons. The record is from RefSeq and is a predicted model, not a curated record. Lineage: Eukaryota; Viridiplantae; Streptophyta; Magnoliopsida; Malvales; Malvaceae.
GGGUAUAGAAAUCCAUGUCCAAUAAGAUGGUGUGUCGCUCCAUACGAUGUGGAGCUCCCUGGGAGACACCAUGUAACAUUUCUUCCCACUCGAUCUUUCCAGCGACAAACUCUGUUUCAUCCAAACCACCAUUCCUAUUUAUUACAUGGAAAGAUGCA